AAUGUGUGUGUGUGUGUGUGUGUGUGUUUGCACUAUUUAGAGGGCUUGCGGCCCCCCCACGUCAGUAGUUUCGUCACAAGUCAAUGUAGAUGGUUCUGUGAACAGGAAAAAGAGGUAUAACCAAAAUGGGAUUGCGUUACGGAUACUUAAUGGUUAAACGGCAAUAAAAACGAGUCAAACAAUCCUCGUGAUAUUAAGUCAUGCAAUUGUACCACGUGUAAAAGUGGACUGCUUCUUGUAGUACUGUAAAUAGCAUCUUUGGGCAGAAUGCGCUGUGGGAAUACAAAUGUGGCCGUGUUUUUGAGUGGAGUACGGCGGAGUUUGAUCAGAUGUGCUUCGAGGAAAGUUUCCUUUGAUCCGAACGCUACCAGGGUGUACAGAGCGAAGUCGUGAAUGGACGUACACUCAGGGAAUAUCAAUGCAGCGCGAGUCGUCCCCGCUUCUGGCUGCCUGCUAGCACGAGCUAACUCGCAACGUAGCUCAGAAAAUGGGCUAUCUGAAAAGCUGUGCCUCAAAUUUUACAUUUGAUUCUUUUCAAAAUCCUCACCUUUGUAUUCAAAUGGCGUCUGACCGCUGACAGUGAUGAGGCUGUGAUUUUAAAUAUCAUAACUUGCUAAUGCUCGGCUCGUGAAAGCUGGGAUUUAUUGCUUUUCUAAUCAUUCCGAGUGUUGUUAGCUGUCGUGAUGUGUUGCGGCCUCUGUCGAACACAGCUGCGCUAAUGUAAUUCUGCUGAGAUGAAAGGGACCGGCUGGGUAGUGUGGUUUACUGUUGCUGUGAAACAUGGACAGAACGCAGCCAAUUAGAUCUGCUAAAGUGACAUGAUCAAGCAGAAAUACUGUGUGUGGCUUUUUUAAUGGCUGAAGUCGGCUCUGAUGCCGGAUCACUUUAAUGGCUGCCAUAUGCCAUGUUUGGUUUGGCUGGUUUCCCGCAAGAUGUUGUGCUUGUGUUUUGCGGCUUUUAGGAUUGUCAAGAUUUCUCUCAUGUCAUGUUUAAUUCUUCUCACUGCCGUUUGUGAAUGCGGACGGACACCUCGCGAGUCAUUUUGACAAUAUGCCAGUCUUGAAUGGGUCGUUUCUCGAGAAUAAAGGCUUUCAGCAGUGAAGCAAAAUGGCUUGUACAUUUCAGAGAGUUUCCACUAUUGUUAUUUUAAACAUGACACAAUUCGUACGUUAAUGGGAUAGUUCAUCUCAAAAUGAAAAUUCUGUGAUCAUUUAAUCACUCUCGUUUCAUUGCAAACGUGUAGGACGUACCGUAGUUCUUCUGUGAAACACAAAUGAAGAAAUUUGGAAGAAAAUAAAAUCAGGCAUUUCUCAAAAUAUCUUUUCUGUGUUCCACAGAAGAAAGCCAGUCGUACAUUUUCUGUAAAUUAUGACAGAAUUUUCAUAUUUAGAGGAACAAUAUUUUUAAUCCCUUUAAGGAACAGUAAUACAAUUGUGCUCAAACAGGUCGCCGCCUCUCAAGUGUGAGGGUAUUUGUUUUGUGGAAUAGCAGCAAAUACCCCCAUUCGAAACACAAGUGCCAGGUAAAUGCAUUUGAUAUUAUGGCCCCUGCUUUUUUUUUUUUUGGGUGGGGGAGUCAUCAGCCCCUUGCCCCAUUGUGCCCUAUUUAAAAGGGUUUGUCAUGAAUGUGAGAGAGCCUCUUUUCCCCUACUGCUCUCCCCUGGAAAUGGAGAUGUAAUGACAUUUGCAGUUAAAAGGAGCUCAUUCACAGUUUGUACAGUUUAAGAAUUCAAAUGAAGUGUUUUCUCGUGCUGUAUUGCCUGAAGGAACAGGCGAGAGAGGAAAGCAGAUUUCUGAGGAUUAGUUCUCCAGGUUCCCUUUAUUAUGUUAAGAGUCUGUAGUAAAUGGUGAUGGAGUGAAAAGUGAGGUAAAGUAAAGGUUGUGUGUUGGGAGGGGGCACGUUUCCUCCUCUGCAGGGCCUCAAUGGCAUGAAAACAGUGAUAUUGGACACAGUUUACACACACACGCUUACACACACAAAUGUCAGUGUGCUGCAGUGAGGCUGUUCACGGCCAUUGGCGGUGAAACACCUGUUUUCACUGGAAGAACAGCUCCUGUCACCCCCUCUAGCCCUUGGUUUGUUUUUGGUAAAUAGAGACCUGUGAAGGGAAAGUGAGUGACAUUUGGGAGAGCUUGAACUUUUAAUUGUGCUUAAUUUGUAAGAUGUCACAACAGAUAUCACAGCUGGCUUAUAUCUGCGCUGUUAACUUGGGAGGCUUUAAGAGAAGCACACAGAAUAAUUAUAAUAUUAUUUGCUUUGGUUUUUUUAUUACUUAUUUAUUGUGUAAAAAUAUUACUUCAUAUGUUGAUAUAUUAUAUAAAAUAAAGAUAAUAUUGAAUGUAUUAAAUUGAGUAAAAAUUUUUAUACAUAUUUUUUUAAAUAUAAUAUAAUAAUAAUGGUUAUAUGUUCAAAAGCAGUAUGUGAUUUACUAAAUAAAUAUAUAGCAAAUAAUAAUUUGUGAAAUAAAUAUAAUAUAGUAAAUAUAAAUAUAGUUUCUUCCUUUAAAGCUGUCAAAAUGAAGUCCUUAGCAGUUUUGAUAUAUAUUACAGUAAUAAAUAUUAACAUGAAAAAAUCUUCAUGGAAUAGGAUUAAGUAAUAUCUUAAUGUUUUUUGGCAUAAAAGAAAAAUGCCUAUUGCUACAAAUAUACCUGUGCAACUCAAGGUCCAGGGUCACAUAUUAGUUAAUACAAUAUAAAAUUCAUAUUUGUGGAAAGGAAUAUUUAAAAAUAAUAAUAUUAAUAAUGGUAUUGAUAUUUUAAAAUAAUAUUAUGUGAUUUAUUAUUCUGAAAAAUAAAUAUAUACCAGAGAUUACUAUUAAUUUGUGCAAUAAAUAUAGACAAUUACUAAUUAUUAUAAUUUCUUACUGUUACUGACUAAUAUUUUUAUAAUAAUGUUAUAAUAUAAGUUCUGUGAUCACUUCACUAGUCAACAAAAAUAAAUCUGGUAUUCCUUGUCAUUUAGUAAUAUUUUAAUGAUAGUUUUUAUAUCUACAGUAUAACUUUCCCUCAGUCAGUGUGACUUAUGAAAUGUAGUGGGUAUGUCCGAGUGCAGGAUCAACCAAGCAGAAAUCAGCAGACAGAUAUUAUAUUCCCUACAGUUUCGUCUGCAGUGUGCAGAUCGCGUUUCCACCAGACCUGCGUCUCGUUCCGCUCUGCCUUCCCGUUAAUCUCUAGGUCUCUUCGAGGUGUCAGGCUGUAAUUAGCCAUUCCCUCUGCUAUCGCGGUCUUACCUGGGUUAGAUGGGCCCAGAGAUCUGCCGUGCUACCCACCACACGAAUAUCUCCAGUUUUGAUCACAUGACGGUGUGCUGCUCUGAAGAAGAUAGGUAAUUUAGGCAGCAGAAGGUGUCACCUUCAUCGGACCUGACACACAUGCUACUCAAACCAUGGGAGACAAGAUCAGGGGCAAAUUAAUCGCCAAGAUGCCAAGGUCAGUGUCGUGCCCCCGUACGCGUGGGCUGGUCAAGUCAUUUUAGAAGACGGCGAUACAGGACAAAGUUUAUUUACACCACUGUCAUCUGUUCCCUGCAACAAAGCUGAUGAUUUCCACAUAAGAGCAGUGGGGAGACUCGGGUAGUCGGCCCCUCCAGAGCCCGCUGAAGUGAAGCCGUAGUUGGUGAAGCAGUCAGGAUGGUUCUGAUGAUACCCGCUUGGAAGCGGCUGACAUGAGCCGAGGUCUAUCAAGGAGGCCCGUGGGCUAGUGGCGAGACGGAAACCCAUCUGGGAGGCCUUUUUCUAUCGAUGCAGCUGCUGUGUUUCGACUACGUUUGUGGGUUAAAUUAACUUGUACUGAUGCCUGCUUAAUUCAAUCUCCUGUUUGAAAUGUUUCAGCGUGCCAACAUAAUAACUGUAAUCACCUUGUCAUCAAGUCCCGUUGAACUCAAUCAUCCGCCUCUGAAACGCACUAUUCCCGUGUUUGACAGCCUACGGAGUCUUCAUGUUACUAUGUGUUCAUCUGAUCAUGCUUGAGAGAUUUAUAUAAAAUUUUUUUAGGCAGUGUGGUAGCUUGUAUCCCGUGUGAUUUUAAACACGGUCAGUUGUCAUACUCUUAAUUUUACCCGAUCAAAGCUUUAAAUGAAGUUGCUCACUGCUGGUAGGCUGUGUUUUCAGUAUGUGUUGUGCUAAUGUGUGAAAGGAAAAUCGCUAAAGCCAUUAAUUAAAAUUGUACCAGAAUUCUCUAGCAAACAAUGCUGAAAAACAAGACUGUAUGUAGUUCUAAGGAUGUUACAAUUUAUAAAACUCGCAUUAAUAUUUUCACACUUUGACUUCACAGUUUGUACAAUGUGUGUCUUUUCAUACUCAGUAUCACAGUAAAAAACCAACAGCUAACAAAUCUAGCUUCAUCCUGCAUUUAAGAGUUUGGGUUCAAGUUUUAAAAUAGGUGUGUGUGUGUGUGUAUAUAUAUAUAUAUAUAUAUAUAUAUAUAUAUACGUAUGUGUAUGUGAGCGACAAAUAAGCAUAUUAGAAUGGUUCCCGAAAGAUCAUGUGAUCACACUGAAGCAUGGAGUAAACUGAAAAAAAAAUAUUCAUUGAAUUUACUAAAUAUUUUUAAGGUAACUGGUUGCAGUCAAUUUAUCUUGGAGUCAAUGAAUAUUUUGUUUUCUGUGUGAAAGCUUCUGAAGAUACUUGCAUACAUUAUAUUUAAAAUACUGUAUAUUCAAAUAGAAAACAGUUAUUUUAAACUGUAAUAAUAUUUGACUUGCGGUUUUUUUAUUGUUUUAUGGUUUUUAUACGUUUAAUUAAAUAAAUGCAGACCACAAGUUUUAAACAGCAGUGUACACCAACUGUCCUUGGCACUGUGGGCUUUGCUCUGAAAAACGGAAGUGAUGCCCGACGCGUGUUAUUUUUCAAAUAUUCAAAUACACAUUGUGCCACGUAUUAUAACAGAACAAGUUACCGAUGGACACAGUUCUGGAUCUUAUCCUAAUCACUCUUUCCUUCU
Long non-coding RNA from Puntigrus tetrazona (Sumatra barb), 4940 nucleotides. RefSeq lists it as uncharacterized. The record is from RefSeq and is a predicted model, not a curated record. The transcript is spliced from 4 exons. Lineage: Eukaryota; Metazoa; Chordata; Actinopteri; Cypriniformes; Cyprinidae.